RNAcentral lists this ribosomal RNA (270 nucleotides) under uncultured archaeon. Its description in RNAcentral is "partial 16S ribosomal RNA". It matches the Rfam family "Archaeal small subunit ribosomal RNA", at positions 477 to 747 of the family's 1478-position model. The record is from RNAcentral.
CAGCACCUCAAGUGGUCAGGAUGAUUAUUGGGCCUAAAGCAUCCGCAGCCGGCUCUGUAAGUUUUCGGUUAAAUCUGUACGCUCAACGUACAGGCUGCCGGGAAUACUGCAGAGCUAGGGAGUGGGAGAGGUAGACGGUACUCGGUAGGAAGGGGUAAAAUCCUUUGAUCUAUUGAUGACCACCUGUGGCGAAGGCGGUCUACCAGAACACGUCCGACGGUGAGGGAUGAAAGCUGGGGGAGCAAACCGGAUUAGAUACCCGAGUAGUCC